GGGCUCGGAAAGACCGGUGCCAGCCGCCGCGGUAUUACCGGCAGCUCGAGUGGUCCUCGCUUUUAUUGGGCCUAAAACGUCCGUAGCCUUUUUGGUAAAUCUGUGGGUAAAUCAACCAGCUUAGGUGGUUGAAUUGUGCAGCCACGCCCAGACUAGGGACCGGGAGAGGUGUGGGGUACUUUAGGGGUAGAGGUGAAAUCCUAUCAUCCUUAGAGGACCACCGGUUCCGAAGGCCCCACACUGGAACGGAUCUCCCGGUCAGGCACGCAGCUUAGGGGCACGAACCGGAUUAGAUACCCGGGUAGUCCUAGGUGUAAACGCUGCCAACUUGUUUUCGGGAGUCCGCAAUGGGCCCCCGGUGCCGGUGUGAAGAUGUUAAAUUCACUUCCUGGGGAGUACCCUCGCAAGG
Molecule: ribosomal RNA, 409 nt
Filed under: uncultured archaeon
Lineage: Archaea
Description: bacterial SSU rRNA
Rfam family: Archaeal small subunit ribosomal RNA
Source: RNAcentral